RNAcentral lists this ribosomal RNA (440 nucleotides) under uncultured bacterium. RNAcentral's name for it is "partial 16S ribosomal RNA". It matches the Rfam family "Bacterial small subunit ribosomal RNA", at positions 338 to 795 of the family's 1533-position model. The record is from RNAcentral.
CCUACGGGGAGCAGCAGUGGGGAAUAUUGCACAAUGGGGGAAACCCUGAUGCAGCGACGCCGCGUGAGUGAAGAAGUAUCUCGGUACGUAAAGCUCUAUCAGCAGGGAAGAUAAUGACGGUACCUGACCAAGAAGCCACGGCUAACUACGUGCCAGCAGCCGCGGUAAUCCGUAGGGGGCAAGCGUUAACCGGAUUUACUGGGUUGAAAGGCGGCGUAGACGGCAGCACAAGUCUGGAGUGAAAUCCCGGGGCGUAACCCCGGAACUGCUGUGGAAACUGUGCGGCUGGAGUGCAGGAGGGGUAAGCGGAAUGCCUAGUGUAGCGGUGAAAUGCGUAGAUAUUAGGAGGAACACCGGUGGCGAAGGCGGCUUACUGGACUGUAACUGACGUUGAGGCUCGAAAGCGUGGGGAGCAAACAGGAUUAGAUACCCCUGUAGUC